This 848-nucleotide ribosomal RNA is filed under the name Galerina nana. RNAcentral describes it as "partial large subunit ribosomal RNA". It matches the Rfam family "Eukaryotic large subunit ribosomal RNA", at positions 87 to 919 of the family's 3401-position model. The record is from RNAcentral. Lineage: Eukaryota; Fungi; Basidiomycota; Agaricomycetes; Agaricales; Galerinaceae.
CUGCGAGUGAAGCGGGAAAAGCUCAAAUUUAAAAUCUGGCGGUCUUUUGGCUGUCCGAGUUGUAAUCUAGAGAAGUGUUAUCCGCGCUGGACCGUGUACAAGUCUCCUGGAAUGGAGCGUCAUAGAGGGUGAGAAUCCCGUCUUUGACACGGACUGCCAGGGCUUUGUGAUGCGCUCUCAAAGAGUCGAGUUGUUUGGGAAUGCAGCUCAAAAUGGGUGGUAAAUUCCAUCUAAAGCUAAAUAUUGGCGAGAGACCGAUAGCGAACAAGUACCGUGAGGGAAAGAUGAAAAGAACUUUGGAAAGAGAGUUAAACAGUACGUGAAAUUGCUGAAAGGGAAACGCUUGAAGUCAGUCGCGUUGACUGGGGAUCAACCUUGCUUUUGCUGGGCGUACUUCCCGGUUGAUGGGUCAGCAUCAAUUUUGACCGUUGGAUAAAGUUCAGGGGAAUGUGGCAUCUUCGGAUGUGUUAUAGCCCUUGGUCGCAUACAACGGUUGGGAUUGAGGAACUCAGCACGCCGCAAGGCCGGGUAUUUAUACCACGUUCGUGCUUAGGAUGCUGGCAUAAUGGCUUUAAUCGACCCGUCUUGAAACACGGACCAAGGAGUCUAACAUGCCUGCGAGUGUUUGGGUGGAAAACCCGAGCGCGUAAUGAAAGUGAAAGUUGAGAUCCCUGUCGUGGGGAGCAUCGACGCCCGGACCAGACCUUUUGUGACGGAUCCGCGGUAGAGCAUGUAUGUUGGGACCCGAAAGAUGGUGAACUAUGCCUGAAUAGGGUGAAGCCAGAGGAAACUCUGGUGGAGGCUCGUAGCGAUUCUGACGUGCAAAUCGAUCGUCAAAUUUGGGUAUA